CAGCCAGACUGAUGCUGAGGUAAUACACUAUGGAGAGGGGACACAGCCAGACUGAUGCUGAGGUAAUACACUAUAUAUGGAGAGGGGACACAGCCAGACUGAUGCUGAGGUAAUACACUAUGGAGAGGGGACACAGCCAGACUGAUGCUGAGGUAAUACACUAUGGAGAGGGGACACAGCCAGACUGAUGCUGAGGUAAUACACUAUGGAGAGGGGACACAGCCAGACUGAUGCUGAGGUAAUACACUAUGGAGAGGGGACACAGCCAGACUGAUGCUGAGGUAAUACACUAUGGAGAGGGGACACAGCCAGACUGAUGCUGAGGUAAUACACUAUGGAGAGGGGACACAGCCAGACUGAUGCUGAGGUAAUACACUAUGGAGAGGGGACACAGCCAGACUGAUGCUGAGGUAAUACACUAUGGAGAGGGGACACAGCCAGACUGAUGCUGAGGUAAUACACUAUGGAGAGGGGACACAGCCAGACUGAUGCUGAGGUAAUACACUAUGGAGAGGGGACACAGCCAGACUGAUGCUGAGGUAAUACACUAUGGAGAGGGGACACAGCCAGACUGAUGCUGAGGUAAUACACUAUGGAGAGGGGACACAGCCAGACUGAUGCUGAGGUAAUACACUAUGGAGAGGGGACACAGCCAGACUGAUGCUGAGGUAAUACACUAUGGAGAGGGGACACAGCCAGACUGAUGCUGAGGUAAUACACUAUGGAGAGGGGACACAGCCAGACUGAUGCUGAGGUAAUACACUAUGGAGAGGGGACACAGCCAGACUGAUGCUGAGGUAAUACACUAUGGAGAGGGGACACAGCCAGACUGAUGCUGAGGUAAUACACUAUGGAGAGGGGACACAGCCAGACUGAUGCUGAGGUAAUACACUAUGGAGAGGGGACACAGCCAGACUGAUGCUGAGGUAAUA
Molecule: long non-coding RNA, 932 nt
Organism: Oncorhynchus keta (chum salmon)
Lineage: Eukaryota; Metazoa; Chordata; Actinopteri; Salmoniformes; Salmonidae
Exons: 5
Source: RefSeq, a predicted model, not a curated record